GUCAAAUUUUGUGUAGAGGAUAAACAACAAAAGUUCAGUCUUUUGUUCCAUCAACAAUUUUUGAAAUGAAUUUUUACAUCUGAAGAUGGUUAAUAUUUCUAAAGACGACAAACAUUUAAACAAAAAAACCUUCCAAGAAAAAUGUGGAGCUAAAUCAAGACCCACUUGAAACAUUUAUAAAAGAGACAAAUAACCCAAAAAAGUGCUGAGAAAAACAAUCAAAUUUGCAAGAAAAACUUGAACUCUAAUGGACCAAAUAAAUGAUACCAGAUCUUGGGAUGCCCGAGAUAUGAAAAAGUCCUAGCGUCUUUAAUGUGUCACUCUUCUAGGAUAUUUAACCCUGCUGAAAAAAAACCUUUUGCCAGAGUGGAGAUGAAAAAAUAAACAUUUCAUUGUUAUGGGCGACUAAAGAAGUUCUUAGAAAAGAAUAAAGCUCCCCUGAACUUA
This is a long non-coding RNA of Episyrphus balteatus (marmalade hoverfly), 447 nucleotides long. RefSeq lists it as uncharacterized. The record is from RefSeq and is a predicted model, not a curated record. The transcript has 2 exons. NCBI's taxonomy places the organism in Eukaryota, Metazoa, Arthropoda, Insecta, Diptera, Syrphidae.